UUCAGACUCCAUCCUCCUCUCAAACCAUCUCCUAUUUUCUUUGGUCAGAAUCGAUACCUUUCUCAAACUCCCUCUCUCUUUCUCUGCCCUCUCAGUUUCUGUCCUCUCAAACUCCAUCUCUGUCUUGCUCUCUCAGUUUCUCUGCGUCGAUAUCCCUCCCCGCCGUCAUCUCUCUCUUUCCUUUCCCUAUCAAAAAUCGAGGUCCAAAAGCCCUAUUUACUGCUCUCAUUUGGUAUCUGUUUCAUUUUCCUAUUCGUUGUUGCCCUCUACCUGUGUUGUCCAUCCUGCCGUUCUCUCAGUUGGAAACGCCCAAAACCCCCAUGUGGUUAGAGCACCCACCCUAAUAUCUGAGAUCUCGUUGAGAGGUGCACUGAGGUCGGUGAUGAUGAUGAUGGUGAAGAAGCCAGAAAGGCAGAGGCUCUGCUUCGUCAGUUCAAUGAAUCGGAAAUCAUGUUUUUGAUGGCUGAGUAGCGGAAUAGAAUGGAUAUUACCAAUCCAAAUAUCCAGAUGGCUGAGUGUGAACUAGGUUAUUUAGCUUCUUAAGAUUAUAUUGUAUCUGCUUUCCAUUGACGUUUGCUGUUCAAACUGCAGCAUCUCACUUAUUCAAUUUAUUGGUUUGCCUUCUAAUUCUUUGAGUAUAUGUCGUGAUUUUUUUUGGGACUUUUGUCAUCCGCUUGUAUCAUUGUGCUUUCUUCACUUGUUUAGAUGAAGUAUUAUGUUGACGAGUGUGAGAUCUUUUCAAUAUGUUGAGAAAUGUGAGAUAAACUUUUUUAUAUUCCUGUUUGCUCGAUGAGACGCACAGCUUGUGCAGCCAUUGAGUCAUCUAAGCUUAUGCAAGAGAAGCACAGGGAAAUACCAUCUUAUUCGAGGGUCUGCUUAUGGAUAAAGAAUUUGGUUUGUCUCAAAUUAUGGAGAAGAUUUUUCUUCUGCUCUUUGGGAUUGUAUUGUUACAGCUUGUGGUUCAUUGCUCUGGUACUGAUUUAAAGGAGAAAGCAGCGCAAGAGAGACUCAGCAGAUAGAGGGAUGGGGAAGCAUCAUGGUGAGUCAACAUAAGCAUUGAUCAUGACUUCUUCGAGCAGUGAAUCAAAGUCCCUGUUUUUCGUGGACAAGUCCAAAGUUUGUUUUCUGUUAGAUUUCGACAGCUGCGCUUCGUGUGAUUGCUUUCUCUAACUUUGUGGAUUUAGGUUUGGCCAAAAGGUGCUAGCAAUGGGUACAACGACAUAGCCGCCACCACCACCACCGUAUAUAAGCUCUACAAAGAUUACUUGCAAAACCCCAAAAGGGACA
Molecule: long non-coding RNA, 1287 nt
Organism: Prunus dulcis (almond)
Lineage: Eukaryota; Viridiplantae; Streptophyta; Magnoliopsida; Rosales; Rosaceae
Exons: 6
Source: RefSeq, a predicted model, not a curated record